Myotis brandtii (Brandt's bat) is the source of this 536-nucleotide long non-coding RNA. RefSeq lists it as uncharacterized. The record is from RefSeq and is a predicted model, not a curated record. NCBI's taxonomy places the organism in Eukaryota, Metazoa, Chordata, Mammalia, Chiroptera, Vespertilionidae. The transcript is spliced from 2 exons.
GCGGUGGGGUGUCACCUGUUCUGGUUUUGCCGAACCUCCUACAGCCUAAAGGCUCCAGUUAGGCUGCUCUGCUUGCUUGCUUUUGCAGGGUUAAGGUAAGGUUACUAGCAUGGUACAGAGGUUAGGAAAAAGUCCUAACUAGUUAACUUUCUGAAAUAAUGUAAACACCCUUACCACUCAUGGCUAUUUUUCCAGGGAUCCUGGUAGUGGGAGUUAAUCUGAUUCUAUCUGUGUCUGGUAAAACAAAGAAUGGUGUGAUGAAUCUUGGGUCACACCUAUGUGCUAUAAAUGAACUGAAAUUGAGACCCAGAUAUUUAGACUCAGGUGUGUUGUUUUUUUUUCAGCGCCUUUGUUGAAAUUCCUAGGUAUGUGACAUUACUAAGUUUGUGACAUGGAAUUAACCUUCUCUGAGGAAUGCUAACGUUAACAUCAAUGGAAAUGCAAUUCUUUGCCUACUUUCAUGAAAGAAAAUUUACAAUUUAAUUUAAAGAAAAGCCCCAGUCUGGGAUUGCUUGACCUUCCUAGUUAUUCUCUGG